GGGAUACAUCCGAGGUGAGGAUUUACACAUUUACUCCGGUGUAUACCUGUGUCAAGGCGGACACCAGCCUUGACACAGGUGUACACACAGACGACACAGACGUUCUCUUUCAUUUUUCUCGGCGGAUGUCCGUAUGGGUUGAUGUACAAACUUUCUGAAGUUCGCUUGGUAAGUCACUGGAUUUGGCGGUACGUCCAACCAGCCUCACAACCGCAGACUACGUGUAACCACACCAACCUAGGACCUCCACAUCCAGCUUCUUCACCUGCGGGAUCGUCUGAGACCAGCUCCCUGGACAGCUGAUGAAACUGGUCUUGACCUGACUGCAGUUCGCCGUCCUAACUGACUUCAGUGAGCAAAUGCUCACCUUCGAUGGCCACUGGGACGCUGGAGAAGUGUGCUCUUCAGGGAUGAUUCCCGGUUUCAGCUGGGCAGAUGGCAGACAGCGUGUAUGGCGUCGUGUGGGCGAGUGAUUUGCUGAUCUUGUUGUGAACAGAGUGCCCCAUGGUGCCGGUGGGGUUAUGGUAUGGGCAGGCAUAAGCCACGGACCAUGAAAAACAAUUGCAUUUUAUCAAUGGCAAUUUGAAUGCACAGAGGUGCUGUGAAAAGAUCCUGAGGCCCAUUGCCCUGUUAUUCAUCCGCCUACAUCACUUUGUUUCAACAUGAUAAUGCACGGACCCAUUUCGCAAGGAUCUGUACACAAUUCCUGGAAGCUGUAAAUGUCCCAGUUAUUCUAUGGCCUGCAUAUUCACCAGACAUAUCACCCAUUUUGAAAAUGUUUGUGAUGCUCUGGAUCAAUGUGUAUGACAGCGUGUUCCAGAUCCUGCCAACAUCCAGCAACUUCGCACAGCCAUUGAAGAGGAGUGGGACAACAUUCCACAGGCCACAAUCAACAGCCUGAACAACUAUAUGCGAAGGAGAUGUCGCCCUGCAUGAGGCAAAUGCUGGUCACACCAGAUACUGACUGGUUUUCUGAUCCACACCCAAUACCUAUUUAUUUAAGGUAUCUGUGACCAACAGAUGCAUAUCUGUAUUCCCAGUCAUGUGAAAUCCAUAGAUGAGGGCCUAAUGAAUUUAUUUCAAUUGACUGAUUUCCUUAUAUGAACUGUAACUCAGUAACAUCUUUUAAACUGUUCCAUGUUGCAUUUUAUAUUUUUGUUCAGUGUAGUUUAGUUGCCUCCCUCUCUGGUUUAUUUACAUCACGCCAGUUUUAAGCAACAAUUGUGAGUUAUGGUAGGCAACCUAUAACGUACAGAUGAUUUCUAUGUUCAGAUCUUAAAUGUAAUGUGGUAUUUGUAGUAAACACAGACAGCAAAUGGCAGUUUAUUGAAUCAGACUUGAUCUCUUCCAAUCAGGAGCAUAGGCGCUAGAGCUGCUCUGAGUGUUGCUGAACAACAGAUCUGUGGUGGCAGAUCGUACCACACGUCAAUGAAUCCUACAUAUUACAGCUUCAUAGAUAAUAUCUCCCUCCCAAAUGGCACCCUAGUCCUUCUAUAGUGCACUACUUUUUACUGGGACCCUAUGGUUCCUUUGACUGGGGCCUAAAGUAGUGCACUAUAUAGGGAAUAGGGUGCCAUUUGGGAUGAAGCACAUGUGUGUGAUAAGAAUUCCUUGGAUGGAUGCCUGGUUUGUGCCAAUGUAAACUGUUAUUAUGCAAGCACAGAGCCCUCUAAGAAAAAACAACUUCUACUCCUUUUGUGUGUUUAGGAAAGAGACCUGGGCAUCAUCAGUCAGUGUCAGUCUGUUGGGGAGGUUUGGGGCCAUGGCAGGGUUGAGUGUCAUUCAACUACCAGACACUGCACUAAACCCACAUGUUUUAUGAGGGAUCUCAGACUCAACUGGGUGUUAAUUUCUCUGUCCUGUCCUAGCCUGGUAUAUCAAAAUGUAUUGUCCAAUCAAUUCCAUGUACAGUACUGUCUGUCAUCCAUUGUGAAUCAGUCGGGAGUUUGUGCUACAUCUCAACGUGCCCUGUGUGUGUUACGUCUCAACUUGCCCUAUGUGGGAGACAGUUGGGGCAUGAUGACGACGCUACAAUACAUGUUCAGGGAAGCAUGGUACUCCUGUCCUCCUCUGCUGUCUUGUCUGUCUCUAAAACAACAGCCUAUACCCCUGUAUCUCCUGUACUGUAGCCUACACAGCAGGGGUUAUUGUCACCAUUCUAUGAAGCUUGUUUAUAACCUUGUGUCAAACAGUGCCACCCAAUUAUUGUUAAAGGCCUUUGAGCGAGGCAGAGCUUUCAGACAGUUUAUAAAGUGAGACAGGCAGUGAUGACUGAACCUAUCCAGCUGUCACCCCACCUUUUUUGGCUGCUUCUGAAAUGCCACCCUAUUCCGUAUGUAGUGAACUACUUUUGACCAGAGCCCUAGGAAACCUCCCCUUUUCUUUUCUUGUCUCGGGAGCAGUCCGACUCAGGAUGGGUAUGGGAGAGUGGCUGUCUCUGACCUCUGACAUCUAUAGGGUCGCAAAGUUCCAGCAACUUUCCCAAAAUUCCAAAGUUUUCCAGUAAUUGUGGUUUUAGGAUUUUCCUUUCUGAUUUUGGGAAUCUACCAAUCAUGAUUUCUGGAAAACCUGGGAACUUUUUGGAAAGUUCAUGGAAUUUUGUGACCCUACCAGGACCUCUGGGAUUGACAGAGCCUAAAUCCUGAGACGAGUAAUACAAGUUCUUAUUUACAAUGACGGGCUACCCCGGCCAAAACCUAACCAGGACAACGCUGGACCAGUUGUGCACCGCCCUAUGGGACUCCCAAUCACGGCCGGUUGUGAUACAGCCUGUAAUCGAACCAAGGUCUGUAGUGCCACAUUUAGCACUGAGAUGCAGUACCUUUGACCGCUGUGCCACUCAGGAGCCCAAAAUAAUGAAUGGAGAGGGGCAUCUGAUUAAGUCAGCACUCCUACUCUGAGAUACUGUGAAUACGGGCCCUGCUAAACAAUAGGACUCAGUCUCAUUACUCACCAUUCACAAUAUCCUUUUUAAUGUAAGAAUGUACCAAUAUUCAAACCUCCUCCUUUCCUGUUGACCUUUAACUGAGCAGCAGAUAGGACCACACUGUUGACCCCCAGCUGACCUGCCAGGGGUUCCGUCCUGUGUGGUGAGGGAGAUGAGAGGUGGCCUGACCUUUGACCUUUCCAGGGAGAGAGCUGAACGGUGUCGGAUCUCCUCUCCCACAAUGCACCGCAAUCGCUGCUCACUGUGUUUUUCAUCUGGUUUCAGGUCCUGAAUUAGGUCAGUUACCAAUGUUUUACCUUCUGACAUUGGCUGAUUGGCACCAGAGAAGGUAUGUAUGUAUGUAUGUAUGUAUGUAAACAACAGCGUUUUGGUGAAAAGACGAUACUUAAAUUUGGAUGCAAAAUGGAGGACAAAAAGUAAAUGGCAGGGCUGCGGACAGCUUGCAGGUAGCCCUACAUCAGCCCUGGGUUCAUAGACUAUUCGUGUUUUUUCAAACACUUUGAGCCUAUACUGGCAGUGAGUGUUCGAUGAGAAAGGUUUACACUUCUGGGACUAUACCAUUGGUUCCAUUGAGCCAGAGAAGCACUUUGAAAGAAAAACAAAUACUACCUGAACCCAGGUCCAUCUACAAUGUUGUUACUACAGUUAUUACUGUGCAGGUACAUGGGCAUGAGGGCAACUUGAAGGUAAAGUGAGUUGGGUCUUGAUCCAAGCUCUGUUGAUUGUUCCUCAGACUGACUUUCAUUGGCCCUGCAGGGGCAUUGGGCUGAGGUGUUACAUUUACAGUUUGUUUCAAGUCAAAAGCAAAGCUUGAAAGUGACUGACUGCCUCCUCGGCUUACGGGGAUUAACCUACUCCGGUGGUGUUUUGAAACGGCUCAGGAUUGUUUUACCAUUUAACUUCAAAUCUCUCCUGUCACAACUCACACAAUGAUAGUUCACCACCUGUGUCCCCCUUCAGUGUUGUGGACAAACUAAUCAUGGAGUUGUGGACAGACGGGACUGGGGUACAGUAGUACAUCACAGUGGAGUUGACAUGAGCAAAACUAUGAAUAAUCGCAUGAGAUAUUGGGGCCCUGGUAAAAAAAAAACAGUAGUGCACUAGAUACACUGUAAACUCAUGGAAUUUUUACCUGAAAUACUUCUAGUAAGUUGUACUCAAUAUCAAUGACUACUCAUUAUUACUUAAUAUCGAUGUGGUACUGACUCAACUAAAUGAGAAGUCACACCAACUAAAUAUUUGUAAGAUAUAUGAUAACAAAUGGAGAAAAAAAAUGUAAUAUGUGUGUUUGAAUGUACAUUCAGUGAUUGUGUGUUUGAAUGUACAUUCAGUGAUUGUGUGUUUGAAUGUACAUUCAGUGAUUGUGUGUUUGAAUGUACAUUCAGUGAUUGUGUGUUUGAAUGUACAUUCAGUGAUUGUGUGUUUGAAUGUACAUUCAGUGAUUGUGUGUUUGAAUGUACAUUCAGUGAUUGUGUGUUUGAAUGUACAUUCAGUGAUUGUGUAUCUUAACAUUUAAUAAAUCAAAGAUAAAUAAUUGUUUUCUAAACUAGUCCAAUCAUUGGAUUUUUGCACCCCUUACUGAAAUUGUUCCAGUUUUAAAUGGCUUAGGUUUCCUCCCACUGUUCUUAACCCUGGCAAGUCAUUAUGAAUGUAGGUUACAAGUGGAUACAUAUUUCAACUGUUGGAUCGCCUAAUGCUGACUAGAUUUCAAUAGGAAUUACACCUCACUUUGCAAGACACAGUAUAAUGUGCUUUACAGUAAGGGAUGCAAAAUUCUGAUGAAUUUCCCAGGUUUUCCAAAAAUCCUGGUUGGAAGAUUACUGGAAAAAUGUAGGGAAUUUUACAACCCUACUUGCAGGCCUGAUGUGGCCUGUAAAACUGAGUUUCAGGCCACUGUAUUAGGCCUUUUGAUAGAUGUAAUGGUUCAAUUAUAAUGUUCCCUUAAGAACACACUUGGUGAAUGCCCCCGGACUGAAAUUGAACGAAUUCUACAACGACGUCUCUGUCACUAACAAAUACAGUCAUGGGUGGUAACUACAAUUCAAUCGAAAAGGCGAGGCACACUGAGAAAUUCUUGGAGGCGUGGCUUAAUGGUGCCGUUAAAUUUAAGUAUACUUUACUCAAAAUACAUGCAUUUUUAUUACUCCUAGGAAGGUAGUACUGCUCACGUCAGCUAUUUAAGUUGUUAGGUAAUUGUUUCUUCAAAAUGUUUGAGUAGCCAGAAUGUAUCCGGUUUUACAGUGUAGGGAAUAGGUUGCCAUUUGGGAAAGGAAUUAAUGCCCUUUUUGGGUGAGAUUCAAUGGUUUCAACCCAAUAAAUGUAUCAUUGUCAUAACAGCCAGAUAAUCUUAGUUAUUACUUGUCUACCUUUUGUGAAUGUUUGUGACAAGACUACAAGAGCAUGAUUUGUUGCACUCUUCAGAUUAGAUUUAUAGAGAUGAUCAUUUAAUUUCAACUGUUUCAUAGACUACAAUUGUCGAUUUUACUCUCAAUAAUGAAUAUGUAGUUUAAAAGGACCUACUAUAGAUUGUAUGGCAGAAGGCUACAGGCUACUAGGCUACAUUUAUAGACCAUCCCCGACCAAAUGUAUUUUCUUAAACAUUUUUCUGUCACAUUUGUUCAAUAUAAUCCUACAUUAAAGAACGGAAUUUUGUC
Long non-coding RNA from Oncorhynchus kisutch (coho salmon), 5601 nucleotides. RefSeq lists it as uncharacterized. NCBI's taxonomy places the organism in Eukaryota, Metazoa, Chordata, Actinopteri, Salmoniformes, Salmonidae. The record is from RefSeq and is a predicted model, not a curated record. The transcript has 3 exons.